AACCAGGAUGUUGGCUUAGAAGCAGCCACUCAUUCAAAGAGUGCGUAAUAGCUCACUGGUCGAGUGAUCCUGCGCCGAAGAUUUCCGGGGCUAAAACUUACUACCGAAGCUACGGCAUCAGUAAUGAUGGGUAGGGGAGCUUCCCAUACGGGUUGAAGCAUGACCGUAAGGACAUGUGGACAGUAUGGGAGUGAGAAUGUUGGCAUGAGUAGCGAGAUGUGGGUGAGAAUCCCACAGGCCGUAAACCCAAGGUUUCCAGGGGAAGGUUCGUCCGCCCUGGGUUAGUCGGGACCUAAGCUGAGGCCGAAAGGCGUAGGUGAUGGACAACAGGUUGAUAUUCCUGUACUACCGAUAACCGUUUGAGAGAAGGGAUGACACAGUAGGAUAAGCUAAGCACACUGUUGGUUAUGUGUGCCCAAGCAUUGAGGCAGUCAAAGUAGGCAAAUCCGCUUUGAUAAUGCUGGGAUGUGAUGGGGAGCGAAAUUUAGUAGCGAAGUAGCUGAUUUCACACUGUCAAGAAAAGUCUCUAUCGAGGUUAAAGGUACCCGUACCGCAAACCGACACAGGUGGGUGAGGAGAGUAUCCUAAGGCCAGCGAGAGAACUGUUGUUAAGGAACUCGGCAAAAUGACCCCGUAACUUAGGGAUAAGGGGUGCCACCAUCAGGUGGCCGCAGAGAAUAGGCCCAAGCGACUGUUUAC
Molecule: ribosomal RNA, 699 nt
Filed under: Clostridioides difficile
Lineage: Bacteria; Bacillati; Bacillota; Clostridia; Peptostreptococcales; Peptostreptococcaceae
Description: partial 23S ribosomal RNA
Rfam family: Bacterial large subunit ribosomal RNA
Source: RNAcentral